GACAUAGGUGGCAACCGUUAUCCGGAAUUAUUGGGCGUAAAGGGUGCGUAGGUGGUUCAAUAAGUUACUGGUGGCAAAUCGGGGCCCAACCCCGUGGAAGUCAGUAAUACUAUUAAACUAGAGGAUCGGAGAGGUUAAUGGAAUUCUAUGUGUAGCGGUAAAAUGCUCAAAUAUAUAGAGGAACACCAAACGGCGAAGGCAGUUAACUAUUCGGUUCCUGACAUUGAGGCACGAAAGCGUGGGGAGCAAGACGG
This 254-nucleotide ribosomal RNA is filed under the name uncultured bacterium. RNAcentral describes it as "partial 16S ribosomal RNA". It matches the Rfam family "Bacterial small subunit ribosomal RNA", at positions 524 to 776 of the family's 1533-position model. The record is from RNAcentral.